AGGACGAACGCUGGCGGCGUGCUUAACACAUGCAAGUCGAGCGGAAAGGCCCUUCGGGGUACUCGAGCGGCGAACGGGUGAGUAAUACGUGAGCAACCUGCCCUUAGCUCUGGGAUAGCUCCGGGAAACCGGAAUUAAUACCGGAUAUGACCUAGGCCGACAUCGGCCGUGGUGGAAAGUUUUUCGGCUAGGGAUGGACUCGCGGCCUAUCAGCUAGUUGGUGGGGUAAUGGCUUACCAAGGCGACGACGGGUAGCCGGCCUGAGAGGGCGACCGGCCACACUGGGACUGAGACACGGCCCAGACUCCUACGGGAGGCAGCAGUGGGGAAUCUUGCGCAAUGGGCGAAAGCCUGACGCAGCGACGCCGCGUGGGGGAUGGAAGGCCUUCGGGUUGUAAACCCCUUUCAGCAGGGACGAAGCGAAAGUGACGGUACCUGCAGAAGAAGCGCCGGCUAACUACGCGCCAGCAGCCGC
Molecule: ribosomal RNA, 475 nt
Filed under: uncultured bacterium
Lineage: Bacteria
Description: SSU rRNA
Rfam family: Bacterial small subunit ribosomal RNA
Source: RNAcentral